GCCCAAGUGGCGGAACGGUAGACGCAGGGGAUUCAAAAUCCCCCGCCGCAAGGCGUGUGGGUUCGAUUCCCACCUUGGGUA
Molecule: transfer RNA, 81 nt
Filed under: Puniceibacterium sp. IMCC21224
Lineage: Bacteria; Pseudomonadati; Pseudomonadota; Alphaproteobacteria; Rhodobacterales; Paracoccaceae
Rfam family: tRNA
About the family: Transfer RNA (tRNA) molecules are approximately 80 nucleotides in length. Their secondary structure includes four short double-helical elements and three loops (D, anti-codon, and T loops).
Source: Rfam by way of RNAcentral